GACGAACGCUGGCGGCGUGCUUAACACAUGCAAGUCGAACGAAGAGCGAUGGAAGCUUGCUUCUAUCAAUCUUAGUGGCGAACGGGUGAGUAACGCGUAAUCAACCUGCCCUUCAGAGGGGGACAACAGUUGGAAACGACUGCUAAUACCGCAUACGAUCUAACCUCGGCAUCGAGGAUAGAUGAAAGGUGGCCUCUACAUGUAAGCUAUCACUGAAGGAGGGGAUUGCGUCUGAUUAGCUAGUUGGAGGGGUAACGGCCCACCAAGGCGAUGAUCAGUAGCCGGUCUUAAGGGAUGAACGGCCACAUUGGGACUGAGACACGGCCCAGACUCCUACGGGAGGCAGCAGUGGGGAAUCUUCCGCAAUGGACGAAAGGCUGACGGAGCAACGCCGCGUGAGUGAUGACGGCCUUCGGGUUGUAAAGCUCUGUUAAUCGGGACGAAAGGCCUUCUUGCGAAUAGUGAGAAGGAUUGACGGUACCGGAAGAGAAAGCCACGGCUAACUACGUG
This 510-nucleotide ribosomal RNA is filed under the name uncultured bacterium. RNAcentral describes it as "partial 16S ribosomal RNA". It matches the Rfam family "Bacterial small subunit ribosomal RNA", at positions 28 to 507 of the family's 1533-position model. The record is from RNAcentral.